This 380-nucleotide ribosomal RNA is filed under the name uncultured bacterium. RNAcentral's name for it is "bacterial SSU rRNA". It matches the Rfam family "Bacterial small subunit ribosomal RNA", at positions 29 to 414 of the family's 1533-position model. The record is from RNAcentral.
AUUAAACGCUGGCGGCAUGCCUUACACAUGCAAGUCGAACGGUAGCGCGGGGCAACCUGGCGACGAGUGGCGAACGGGUGAGUAAAGCAUCGGAACGUGCCCUGGAAUGGGGGAUAACGUAGCGAAAGUUACGCUAAUACCGCAUAUUCUGUGAGCAGGAAAGCAGGGAAUCGCAAGACCUUGCGUUCUGGGAGCGGCCGAUGUCGGAUUAGCUAGUUGGUGGGGUAAAAGCCUACCAAGGCGACGAUCCGUAGCGGGUCUGAGAGGAUGAUCCGCCACACUGGACUGAGACACGGCCCAGACUCUACGGGAGGCAGCAGUGGGGAAUUUUGGACAAUGGGCGGAAGCCUGAUCCAGCCAUGCCGCGUGAGUGAAGAAGG